UAAGCUGCACCAAGCCUAGCUGUUCCACAGUGCUUUAUUGCCUCAUUCAAGUAUAUUAAAGAAGCUCUCAAGGGAAAACCAAAGGUUAAACCAAAAUAUACAUCAAUAUACAAAGAAAUUAAUUUACAAAAAAAUUAAAAGGAUACUGGUAACAUUAGUAGAUAUUUUAAAUAAUGACUUGUGAUAAUUAGGGAUGUCACAGACUAAAUUCUUAAUAUGUACGGUCAUUACCAUGAAUUCUCACAUCACCAGUGGUAUUGAAAAGCAAUGCUUAACUCCUCAUCUUUUUAUCAAUGAUAAAAAAUUGAUCAGAUUAUAAGAUAAACAUCAUAAAUUCUAACAUUUAACCUUACAUCAAUUUAACUGGGUUAUAAUUUUGAGAAUUACUAGAACUACUGGUACGUGAACAUUGGUUUAGGCGAAUUAUCUCCAUAGAAUGUGACAUCCAUAAUCAUUCCAGUCAUUGGAAAUAUACAGUUGCCUCACUAAAAUAUAUUCUUCAUGUUUUUAUCAUACAACCAUAUUUCAAAGCUACAUGUAAUUUUACACAUUUUUGAAAAAAAAUCCCAUUUCAAGAUCUUCUUGAAAAGCAGAUGUGCACUAUACUAAAUUACUUUUAAACAAAGAGAAAUAUUGCACAAAAAUCACUGAAGAUUUGAAAGUCAACACAUUUCCCCCACACAACCAAGUAGCUCCCUUAUUUUUAACAGAAACAGAAUGUCAAUUCACAGAGAAUUGUAAUAAAUGUCAACGUACUUGAACUCAACUUAUUUUUCAAAUGCUAAUACUGUUACUGGACUAAAUACAAAUCUUGUUAGUAUUGACCUAAGUAAUAGUACAAAUUAGAGUACCCUUUACUACAGUAAACCUUGGAGUAACCAACUGUGUCACCUGCUUCAUACUCCAACCCAGCAGAAAAUGGCAAUGGCCCUGCCAACUACACAGAUGGUGGAUGGCCCUCUAGACUAAGGUGACUGUGGGACUCAUCAGGCAACUACAUCUAGAAGUUUAGCAGCUUCCAGGAAAGACCUAUCAAGUACUUUCAAUUGGCCACUGAUUAAAACUGUUAAACAGACAUUGCAAAUCAAGGAAGGUUUCGCACAAAAACACAUACCAUCCCUUUCCCAUUCAUCUAUUUUCAACACCCUGAAGAUCAUGAAUUCUAGACCAGCUGUGGUCCACGCUCUUGAGGUGAUGAGUAGGACACAUUCUACUCAGCCCAGAUUCUGUUAGGUAAACAACACAUGGCAAAGACAUACACAUCUAAUAGCAGCAAAGAAGUUACUGAAGACUAGUCACAUCACCAUUCAUACUGGUUUUGCUGGUGCAUUUAUUUCUACAUUCAUUCUCCAAAGAUUUACUGCAAUACCAUGGGGACAGCCAGUCUUCACCAUCCUGAGCUUUGCAAUAAGGAAGCUGCUUGCCUCGGGCAUAAUUUCAUUAGCACAUUUCUUUAGCUUGAAAUUUCAGACUGUUGGGAACACACUGGCUGGAGUCUCACAGCACCUGGGCUAGAGCCUGGCACCAAGAGAGAAGAUGGUAACUCCCUUGGAAAUAAAGACCCCCCUCUAAGACUCCCUGCAGAGUCAGGGAGGUCAGCGGCUAUGGGGCUCCCUUCCGCAGCACAGGGUACUACAGUCAGUAUUGCACAGGGGGUGCAUUUGCAAAGAGGCCUUAUGCUGGCACUUCAAUUAUUGCAUGAAAUGUUUCCUCAACUGAUUACAUGCAUAGAAAAAAGAUUUUAGAUGCUCCUAGUAAUUCCAUUAGACAGCUGCACCAAUGAAAGAUUGUUCUGUAGGACUGAAUAUGAUUGAUUGUAGUUGGAGAGAUAGAUGCUGUUUUAAAAACCUGGCUUAACUGUUUUUUUGCCUAGACUUUAAAUCGUUUACAAGAACACAAGGUUAUAAACUAGAUCAUUUUAAACCCUGAAAAGACAUCUAAAACAAUUUUUUGAGAUCUAAACUACUCCUUUAAUAGAUUGGGUGGGAUUUUCAAAAGCACCCAGCAUGUGUCUAGAACUCUGGCUGAAGUCUGUGUUACAAUGCCUGAGAGGGGACUUCAGUCAGUGCUGAGAGAUUCUGAUGACCUCGCCCAAACAGCAGCAGUACCACUGAAAUGCUAAAUGACAAUGAAGGGUUCAGCUAAGUUCUAGGACAACUUCUACAACUACAUUUUUCUUUCAGAACAAGACUAUUUUUCAGAUACAUGAUGCUCAAAUAUGUGGGAUGGAAGAGCCAACCCCUGCCUACUCUACACAGACUUCCCUCUGCAUGCAUAGAGGGUGGGUAAGGAUCACCUUGGCAGCCACAGUACUGUCCUUCCCUGAAUAUCUGCACUGUGUUUUACAUACUGCAUCUCUAUACACAUGGAUGGGAAGGCUUUGACUGGGACAGCAUACUAUCCAUUCUGCAUAUCCCAUAGGGGCUUAAUUCCAUAGCCCCUACAUGGCUGGGUUGGAAUCACUACAACUGAGCAAGAACAUGAAACAACAUUUUGAAAUCUGAAUUUCCUCAAAGUUACCAUCCCUCCUGAGGACUCCCAGGCUCUGCUUCACCACACACCACUGGAACAAUCCAGGAAUCCCUUUGUCUUUCUACUGCCCUUGCUUUUUUCCUCCCAAACCAGAUGAGUGAUAUGGCUCAUUUCAGGCAACCACUGAUGCAAAAGAAACUCGAAGAUACUAAAUUCAAGUCCUAGUUCAACCUCCUAUAUCAGAAAUUUGUUCCUAUGUGUAAGUAACAGAUUACAAAGCUUUGUCAAAUAACCUAGUAUCUCCCUUAAACAGGAGAAAUAGGAAGAUUUUUGAGAUCCUGAAGAAAAGACAUGCUUCUGAAGAAGACCACAGGAGCUCUGAAUGAGCAGAACUUACUUAGUUCUCACCAGUAGCUGGUGAUGAAUGUUUAUCGUUUUGAAAGACAUUAGGAGGAUUUCCACAAAUAAAAAGCACACAAGUAUAAAACUUGUAAAAAGUACUGGACCUGGAAAUUUAUCUUAAUAUGGUACCCAAUGUGGUAAUAAAAAUACUGCAUAUGUAACCAAUAAACAGUUUCAUAUUAUCACAGGGACAGAGAACAACAGUGUUUAACCGGAAAUAUCAGUUUGGACUCAUCUAUUUGGUAACUGGUAAUUCUGCUUAAAUAAGGCACAAAUAUUAGCCUUUUUAUAAGAUCACUGAUAGUAAGUGGAAAAGAUUCCGUAAUAUUAUAAAGUUAAAAAUGUACCUACAGCUAAAUUCAACACAGAUAUAUGACUGAGUUCUUUCUGAACCAAUACAAGAUUCAAAUCCAAAAAUGACGUUUUAUUUAAUGAGUGUAAACACUGUAUGGGCUUUAUAAAUAGUAACGAAACAAUGUGGCAUAAACACAGUAACUAACAUUUUGACUGAAAUAAUUCUAAGUUUAAUUUUACAUUCCAUCUUUUAGUUCAUCUGUUUAUUUCUCUUCAGCCUGCAUUUUUCACUCAAAUUUCUCUCAAACAGUGAAUUACUAUGCCUCAAUUUUGAAAGAUUCCACUACCGAGCUUUCACUUUUAUGAUCCUUAUAGUAACUGUAAGAAUAUUAGCAGCCUUACAUGGCUUCCAUAUUUUUUCCUCAAAGGUGAGAACGGGACAAUCUAGGUGAUAACAGAAGUUCAGUGCCUAACUCUCAUGUAAAGCCAGUAAGAUUCAUUCUAUCAGAGAGGCAUUUUUGAAAAACAUUUUUUCUGGCAGCAUUCCUGGACUUAGGUGUUUCAUGGUUUUGAAAGUUGUAAUGGACAUAAUUUCAGAUUUUUUUCUGUUUUUCUCCGUAAGACAUCAAUACUGUUUAUCUCUAACAAAACAUCAUUUUAGAUGGAACUACGGACAGAAAAGCAUGUCGGAUGCAGAGGAAAAGAAAAAGUGAAUUCUUGUCAACGAAAUACAAGGACAUGAAUGAAAAUGAGAGAGGAAGUGCUACAAGAACAGAAAGCUUUGUGUUGCUUGUCUUCCCUCAGACACAUUUGGCAGCACUACAUUUGGGUAAUGCCUAGAACCAGCAAAGGAGAAGUUUAGAUCAAAGAUUUUACACAAUGCUUAUGAUACUUUUGAUUUUUAAUAGCAAAAUACUUUGCUAAAUAACAUUUUUAUGUUACUAAAAAACCUCCACCACAUACCAUGUUGAUACACAAGAGGAAACCAAAGGAUAGAUAAAUACUUUGGAGUACAAAACUCUGGACACACAACCUCUAACUCUGGAAUACCUAGAUUCCCUAGCAAUGCAGACUACAGAUGCCCUCAGGAAUUUUCACACUCUAAUCUGACGCAGAUAUUUCUGUAAGACUAUCACUUGUAUAAACUUUUACCUUCAUUGCACAAUUUAAAAAAAAAUAAAAAAUUUCUGGAGAUUCGUCCUCAAUGACAAUUACUGGCCCAGCCCUUUUCAUACUGGAACAAGCUGAAAUGUUUACAUUAACAAAGCCAAAGUCUCAAUCUACUGAAUCUCUUUGGUAAAGCAUCAGACACUGCCUCUGAAUGAUAUGGAUCCAUUCUCCUAGGUUAGCUGCCUUGUAAUAAAGCAGCCAAAAAUACCCCUUUCCAUCUGUGGUAGCUAGAAGGAAAUUUAAUUCAUAAAAUCGCAAUGUGGCAACUGAUUAUUAAACUUUGCUACAAACUACCAUUAAGAUAUCAAAGCACAAUCUGGUCCAAAUACUGACCUUAUGAAUGUGCUCAAUCAGGCCUAUUCUGAGAUUAAGACUAAUC
This 4717-nucleotide long non-coding RNA is filed under the name Strigops habroptila (Kakapo). Its description in RNAcentral is "lncRNA (ENSSHBG00005008763.1)". The record is from RNAcentral. Lineage: Eukaryota; Metazoa; Chordata; Aves; Psittaciformes; Psittacidae.